AUUUACUGACAAGUCCAAAAUAAGACGAAACGCGCGUCCUGGAU
RNAcentral lists this non-coding RNA (44 nucleotides) under Schistosoma mattheei. The record is from RNAcentral. Lineage: Eukaryota; Metazoa; Platyhelminthes; Trematoda; Strigeidida; Schistosomatidae.